Molecule: long non-coding RNA, 400 nt
Filed under: Salmo salar (Atlantic salmon)
Lineage: Eukaryota; Metazoa; Chordata; Actinopteri; Salmoniformes; Salmonidae
Description: lncRNA (ENSSSAG00000097291.1, ENSSSAG00020081619.1, ENSSSAG00075055162.1)
Source: RNAcentral
AGAGAGCCAGAACAGAACAUGGCGACACUGGGGUGAUGAGGUGUGGUGGUGGUGGCUGAUAUCAGAUGGAUCCUGACGCCUAAAUGGCGCUCAUUUGAUGGUGCUCUCUGAUGAUGCGUCACAUGCUACAGUACUUCAUUAUAGUGAAGCUGGACAGCGCUCGCGGUUCAUUAAAAAGCAAUAUGUGGAGGUGUGAUUGGCCAUUUCCUGCAGAUAAGUAUCUCCUCAUACAUUUAAAGAAGACAGCCGGACUAGACUGGAUCGUGGAUUCUCUUCAGCUGCAAUGUUGGGGAAUUUUUGUCGUAAUGUUGGAGGCGUCGCCGACGGAGGCAUGAGACUAAUCAACCUUCAACUCAACUCUGAAUGCCAAACAACUGCCAAGGCACUUUGACAAAUAAAG